Molecule: small RNA, 27 nt
Filed under: Bombyx mori (domestic silkworm)
Lineage: Eukaryota; Metazoa; Arthropoda; Insecta; Lepidoptera; Bombycidae
Description: ovarian small RNA-17097
Source: RNAcentral
GCUCGGCGACGACCGCCAGAUGGGUCA